CCUACGGGUGGCAGCAGUGGGGAAUAUUGGGCAAUGGGCGCAAGCCUGACCCAGCAACGCCGCGUGUAUGAAGAAGGCCUUCGGGUUGUAAACUUCUUUUAUUGAGGAGGAAACAAAUACCGGUAAUAAACGAAUAAGUCGCGGCUAAAUACGUGACAGCAGCCGCGGUAAUACGUAGGUGGCAAGCUUGAUCCGGAUUUACUGGGUGUAUAGGGCGUGAAGGCGGGACGUCAAGUCAGAGGUGAAAACCAUGGGCUGAACCCAUGGCCUGCAUUUGAAACUGGAGUGCUUGAGUGAUGGAGAGGCAGGCAGAAUUCCGUGUGUAGCGGUGAAAUGCGUAGAGAUACGGAGGAACACCGGUGGCGAAGGCGGCCUGCUGGACAUUAACUGACGCUGAGGCGCGAAAGCGUGGGGAGCAAACAGGAUUAGAUACCCCAGUAGUC
RNAcentral lists this ribosomal RNA (443 nucleotides) under uncultured bacterium. RNAcentral's name for it is "partial 16S ribosomal RNA". It matches the Rfam family "Bacterial small subunit ribosomal RNA", at positions 338 to 795 of the family's 1533-position model. The record is from RNAcentral.